Molecule: ribosomal RNA, 471 nt
Filed under: uncultured bacterium
Lineage: Bacteria
Description: bacterial SSU rRNA
Rfam family: Bacterial small subunit ribosomal RNA
Source: RNAcentral
UGGGGAAUUGUUCGCAAUGGGCGCAAGCCUGACGACGCAACGCCGCGUGGAGGAUGAAGGUCUUCGGAUCGUAAACUCCUGUUGCCCGGGACGAAUAGCUUCGACCUAACACGUCGGAGUAUGACGGUACCGGGUGAGGAAGCCCCGGCUAACUCUGUGCCAGCAGCCGCGGUAAUACAGAGGGGGCAAGCGUUGUUCGGAAUUACUGGGCGUAAAGGGCGCGUAGGCGGCCUGUUAAGUCGAACGUGAAAUCCCUGGGCUCAACCCAGGAACUGCAUCCGAUACUGGCUGGCUUGAAUCCGGGAGAGGGAUGCGGAAUUCCAGGUGUAGCGGUGAAAUGCGUAGAUAUCUGGAGGAACACCGGUGGCGAAGGCGGCAUCCUGGACCGGUAUUGACGCUGAGGCGCGAAAGCCAGGGGAGCAAACGGGAUUAGAUACCCAUGUAGUCCCUGAGCGGGCUGGCAAGGCGCAU